GUCCCUUCGGGGACAUCCGAUAAAAUUGGAACGAUACAGAGAAGAUUAGCAUGGCCCCUUAUCAAGGAUGACAGGCACAAAUCGAGAAAAAUUACAAGGCAAA
Molecule: small nuclear RNA, 103 nt
Organism: Nicotiana attenuata
Lineage: Eukaryota; Viridiplantae; Streptophyta; Magnoliopsida; Solanales; Solanaceae
Source: Rfam